This 505-nucleotide ribosomal RNA is filed under the name uncultured bacterium. RNAcentral's name for it is "bacterial SSU rRNA". It matches the Rfam family "Bacterial small subunit ribosomal RNA", at positions 501 to 1009 of the family's 1533-position model. The record is from RNAcentral.
CUACGUGCCAGCAGCCGCGGUAAUACGGAAGGUUCGGGCGUUAUCCGGAUUUAUUGGGUUUAAAGGGAGCGUAGGCCGGAGAUUAAGUGUGUUGUGAAAUGUAGACGCUCAACGUCUGACUUGCAGCGCAUACUGGUUUCCUUGAGUACGCACAACGUUGGCGGAAUUCGUCGUGUAGCGGUGAAAUGCUUAGAUAUGACGAAGAACUCCGAUUGCGAAGGCAGCUGACGGGAGCGCAACUGACGCUGAAGCUCGAAGGUGCGGGUAUCGAACAGGAUUAGAUACCCUGGUAGUCCGCACAGUAAACGAUGGAUGCCCGCUGUUGGUACCUAGUAUCAGCGGCUAAGCGAAAGCAUUAAGCAUCCCACCUGGGGAGUACGCCGGCAACGGUGAAACUCAAAGGAAUUGACGGGGGCCUGCACAAGCGGAGGAACAUGUGGUUUAAUUCGACGCAACGCGAAGAACCUUACCAGGUCUUGACAUUGAUGGACAGAACUAGAGAUAG